UUUCCGUAGGUGAACCUGCGGAAGGAUCAUUACAGAGUUCAUGCCCUUACGGGUAGAUCUCCCACCCUUGAAUAUUUAUACCUUAGUUGCUUUGGCAGGCCGUGGAAACACCAUGGGCUCCGGCUUAUGCGUGCCUGCCAGAGGAAACAAACUCUGUUUUUAGUGAUGUCUGAGUACUAUAUAAUAGUUAAAACUUUCAACAACGGAUCUCUUGGUUCUG
RNAcentral lists this unclassified non-coding RNA (220 nucleotides) under plant metagenome. Its description in RNAcentral is "partial contains small subunit ribosomal RNA, internal transcribed spacer 1, and 5.8S ribosomal RNA". The record is from RNAcentral.